RNAcentral lists this ribosomal RNA (240 nucleotides) under uncultured Lactobacillus sp. RNAcentral's name for it is "partial 16S ribosomal RNA". It matches the Rfam family "Bacterial small subunit ribosomal RNA", at positions 123 to 355 of the family's 1533-position model. The record is from RNAcentral. Lineage: Bacteria; Bacillati; Bacillota; Bacilli; Lactobacillales; Lactobacillaceae.
AACCUGCCCAAGAGAUCGGGAUAACACCUGGAAACAGAUGCUAAUACCGGAUAACAACAGAUGAUGCCUAUCAACUGUUUAAAAGAUGGUUCUGCUAUCACUCUUUGGAUGGACCUGCGGUGCAUUAGCUAGUUGGUAGGGUAACGGCCUACCAAGGCGAUGAUGCAUAGCCGAGUUGAGAGACUGAUCGGCCACAUUGGGACUGAGACACGGCCCAAACUCCUACGGGAGGCAGCAGUC